This 436-nucleotide ribosomal RNA is filed under the name Microbacterium sp. R-46031. RNAcentral's name for it is "bacterial SSU rRNA". It matches the Rfam family "Bacterial small subunit ribosomal RNA", at positions 21 to 456 of the family's 1533-position model. The record is from RNAcentral. Lineage: Bacteria; Bacillati; Actinomycetota; Actinomycetes; Micrococcales; Microbacteriaceae.
GGCUCAGGAUGAACGCUGGCGGCGUGCUUAACACAUGCAAGUCGAACGGUGAAGCCCCGCUUGCGGGGUGGAUCAGUGGCGAACGGGUGAGUAACACGUGAGCAACCUGCCCCUGACUCUGGGAUAAGCGCUGGAAACGGCGUCUAAUACUGGAUACGAACCGCAGCCGCAUGGCUCGUGGUUGGAAAGAUUUUUUGGUUGGGGAUGGGCUCGCGGCCUAUCAGCUUGUUGGUGAGGUAAUGGCUCACCAAGGCGUCGACGGGUAGCCGGCCUGAGAGGGUGACCGGCCACACUGGGACUGAGACACGGCCCAGACUCCUACGGGAGGCAGCAGUGGGGAAUAUUGCACAAUGGGCGAAAGCCUGAUGCAGCAACGCCGCGUGAGGGACGACGGCCUUCGGGUUGUAAACCUCUUUUAGCAAGGAAGAAGCGAAAG